AAUCACGCGCAACCCUUACAGCAAGAGAUAGACUUGUUGCAUCACCGCACAUGAAUUGGCAGCACAACAAGCACACAAAAAAGACUAAGAGAAAAAAAAGAAAAAAAAAACAAAAGGGAGAGAAAGAGAUUUAAAAUGGAGAAGGAGGAUACCAAAAAGAAAAGGGAGAAAGAUGUCUAGAAUGGGUAAGUGGAAUCAAGAGGCUGAGCACGGCGAAAACAAAAAGCAUGGUCGGCUUUUUGGUGAUAGUGACGACGUCUCUGAAGCAAAAAUAAGCAAUCUCGGAUACUAAAAGGAAAUAAGUGGCUGGUCUUGUUGAUUGAAUAAACAAAUGGAUAUGAGUUUGCUCACACCAGGGAGGAAGGAAGGCGGAAGCACAAUCUCGAGUGCAAACAGUAUACUUUUUUUAUUAUUAUUAUUAUUAUUAUUAUUUUUUUUUUGUAAAUAUAAUGUAAUGGAAACUCAUAUAAAUAUAGACUCAAAAUAUGAAUCAUUUAUAAAA
Molecule: long non-coding RNA, 502 nt
Organism: Cicer arietinum (chickpea)
Lineage: Eukaryota; Viridiplantae; Streptophyta; Magnoliopsida; Fabales; Fabaceae
Source: RefSeq, a predicted model, not a curated record